This 1441-nucleotide ribosomal RNA is filed under the name Nesterenkonia halotolerans. RNAcentral's name for it is "bacterial SSU rRNA". It matches the Rfam family "Bacterial small subunit ribosomal RNA". Lineage: Bacteria; Bacillati; Actinomycetota; Actinomycetes; Micrococcales; Micrococcaceae. The record is from RNAcentral.
GGGGCCCGCCCUGGCCCUUCCCAUUGCAAGUUCGAACGAUGAAGACCGUGCUUGCACGGUUGGAUUAGUGGCGAACGGGUGAGUAUCACGUGAGUAACCUUCCCUUGACUCUGGGAUAAGCCCGGGAAACUGGGUCUAAUACCGGAUACGACCAGUCCUCGCAUGGGGUGCUGGUGGAAAGAUUUAUCGGUUUUGGAUGGACUCGCGGCCUAUCAGCUUGUUGGUGAGGUAAAGGCUCACCAAGGCGAUGACGGGUAGCCGGCCUGAGAGGGUGACCGGCCACACUGGGACUGAGACACGGCCCAGACUCCUACGGGAGGCAGCAGUGGGGAAUAUUGCACAAUGGGCGAAAGCCUGAUGCAGCGACGCCGCGUGCGGGAUGACGGCCUUCGGGUUGUAAACCGCUUUCAGCAGGGAAGAAGCGCAAGUGACGGUACCUGCAGAAGAAGCGCCGGCUAACUACGUGCCAGCAGCCGCGGUAAUACGUAGGGCGCGAGCGUUAUCCGGAAUUAUUGGGCGUAAAGAGCUCGUAGGCGGUUUGUCACGUCUGCUGUGAAAGCCCGGGGCUCAACCCCGGGUGUGCAGUGGGUACGGGCAGACUAGAGUGCAGUAGGGGAGACUGGAAUUCCUGGUGUAGCGGUGAAAUGCGCAGAUAUCAGGAGGAACACCGAUGGCGAAGGCAGGUCUCUGGGCUGUUACUGACGCUGAGGAGCGAAAGCAUGGGGAGCGAACAGGAUUAGAUACCCUGGUAGUCCAUGCCGUAAACGUUGGGCACUAGGUGUGGGGGACAUUCCACGUUUUCCGCGCCGUAGCUAACGCAUUAAGUGCCCCGCCUGGGGAGUACGGCCGCAAGGCUAAAACUCAAAGGAAUUGACGGGGGCCCGCACAAGCGGCGGAGCAUGCGGAUUAAUUCGAUGCAACGCGAAGAACCUUACCAAGGCUUGACAUGGACCGGGACCGCUGCAGAGAUGCAGUUUCCCCUUCGGGGGUCGGUUCACAGGUGGUGCAUGGUUGUCGUCAGCUCGUGUCGUGAGAUGUUGGGUUAAGUCCCGCAACGAGCGCAACCCCUAUCCUAUGUUGCCAGCACGUUAUGGUGGGGACUCAUGGGAGACUGCCGGGGUCAACUCGGAGGAAGGUGGGGACGACGUCAAAUCAUCAUGCCCCUUAUGUCUUGGGCUUCACGCAUGCUACAAUGGCCGGUACAAUGGGUUGCGAUACUGUGAGGUGGAGCUAAUCCCUAAAAGCCGGUCUCAGUUCGGAUCGAAGUCUGCAACUCGACUUCGUGAAGUUGGAGUCGCUAGUAAUCGCAGAUCAGCAACGCUGCGGUGAAUACGUUCCCGGGCCUUGUACACACCGCCCGUCAAGUCACGAAAGUGGGUAACACCCGAAGCCGGUGGCCUAACCCUUGUGGGGGGAGGCCGUUUAAAUAUUGGGCCCCGGU